CGCACGGGUGCGUAACACGUGGGUAAUCUGCCUCGAGGUCCGGGAUAACCUUCCGAAAGGUUGGCUAAUACCGGUUAAGCUCACGGUGACUUCGGUCGCUGAGAGAAAAGGGGCCCGAAAGGGUCUCGCCACGAGAUGAGCCCGCGGCCCAUCAGCUAGUUGGUGAGGUAACGGCCCACCAAGGCAACGACGGGUAGCUGGUCUGAGAGGACGAUCAGCCACACUGGAACUGAGACACGGUCCAG
Molecule: ribosomal RNA, 245 nt
Filed under: uncultured bacterium
Lineage: Bacteria
Description: partial 16S ribosomal RNA
Rfam family: Bacterial small subunit ribosomal RNA
Source: RNAcentral